UACGGAGGGGACUAGCGUUGUUCGGAAUUACUGGGCGUAAAGCGCACGUAGGCGGAUUUGUAAGUCAGGGGUGAAAUCCCGAGGCUCAAUCUCGGAACUGCCUUUGAUACUGCAAAUCUCGAGUCCGGAAGAGGUGAGUGGAAUUCCUAGUGUAGAGGUGAAAUUCGUAGAUAUUAGGAAGAACACCAGUGGCGAAGGCGGCUCACUGGUCCGGUACUGACGCUGAGGUGCGAAAGCGUGGGGAGCAAACAGG
This 253-nucleotide ribosomal RNA is filed under the name uncultured bacterium. RNAcentral's name for it is "partial 16S ribosomal RNA". It matches the Rfam family "Bacterial small subunit ribosomal RNA", at positions 524 to 776 of the family's 1533-position model. The record is from RNAcentral.